GGGCGGUUAGUCUCAGUUGGUAGAGCACUCGCUUCACACGCGAGGGGUCACAGGUUCGAGUCCUGUACCGCCCA
RNAcentral lists this transfer RNA (74 nucleotides) under Chloracidobacterium thermophilum. RNAcentral's name for it is "tRNA-Val". It matches the Rfam family "tRNA". From Rfam's summary of the family: Transfer RNA (tRNA) molecules are approximately 80 nucleotides in length. Their secondary structure includes four short double-helical elements and three loops (D, anti-codon, and T loops). RNAcentral also lists the same sequence under 8 other names. The record is from RNAcentral. Lineage: Bacteria; Pseudomonadati; Acidobacteriota; Blastocatellia; Chloracidobacteriales; Chloracidobacteriaceae.